Long non-coding RNA from Canis lupus familiaris (dog), 1123 nucleotides. RefSeq lists it as uncharacterized. The record is from RefSeq and is a predicted model, not a curated record. NCBI's taxonomy places the organism in Eukaryota, Metazoa, Chordata, Mammalia, Carnivora, Canidae. The transcript is spliced from 2 exons.
AACCACCCAGGUGCCCCUCAAAUGCUUUGAUAAAAGAGAAAUAUGGGACAACUGAAGGGAAGAGGGAAGAAAUCUUGCGGAAGCAAUCGCUUUUGUUCUCCGACGUCAUUUCCCCCCUCGCAAAUUACAGGUAACACGUUCUCUUACUUACGCUCCCACAGUAACACCUGAACGUAUUUACGAAGAACCAACCAGCCGCUGCGCACUAGCGUUACCAGCACGAACAACUUGCCAGCUCUCAAAUAGUUGAGACUGAGAACUACGCCAAGCAAGGCCUGCCUGAGGCCCUCGGCUGUGGACCAGGAAGCGAUCUACUGGCUGGGCGUGUGAGUAGGAACGAGGGUAACCCAAGGCUCAGAAGGGCCUAGGGAUGGUCUCUGGCAGCACCGGGAAGACGCAGCCCCGGGCGGUGCUGCCACAGUCCGGCUCGGCGCCCACAAGGCAGGCCCGCGGGCCAAGCGCCGGCCCUCCGAGCACGCGGCUGGGCGCGAAGGCCCACCCACUCCUCGAGACUCACCCCGGAGAUCCAGCUCGCGGUCCCGCACGGCGUUGGUGUACUGAGCCGCCUGCUCGAUCAGCUCCGCCGUCAGCUUCACCAUCCUGCUGCCUCCCGCUGCCGCUGCCGGUGCCGCGGCCCACCGGCUGCUUCCCGCCGCCUCCCGCCCGCCAGACUUCCCGGCGUACCCCGCGCCCCGCCGCCAGGCCUCACCAAUCGCAGCCGGCGCAUGCGCGCGCCGCUCGGCACCCAGGCCGAAGUAAUCGAUCGUGAGCAACGCCCACGAUCUCGUCGUCUGCGGAGCUGCUGGAGCGCGCGGAACGUGUCUCGGGUUCUGGGUUUUUCCUUGGGGCGUGCUUGAAGGAGGGCCCCUGAUUCCUGAUGAUGCUCUUGUCCGCAAGUUAAGCAAAAUAAGCACGGGAUACAGAAGAGUGCGCAAACCAGGAAUCUGCAACGUGAAGAAUACCCGCAGAGGGAGCGCACCUGCGUUGCUGCCUCCGGGUCCAGAAAAAAGAACACUUUUCCGAAAGCCUCCAUCCCUUCCCAAAGGCAACCAGGAAUCCCAACACCACAGAUUAGUUUUUGCUUGCUUUUGAUACAAAUAGAGUCACGCAGCGUGCUCCCGUG